Molecule: ribosomal RNA, 468 nt
Filed under: uncultured bacterium
Lineage: Bacteria
Description: partial 16S ribosomal RNA
Rfam family: Bacterial small subunit ribosomal RNA
Source: RNAcentral
GACGAACGCUGGCGGCGUGCUUAACACAUGCAAGUCGAACGGAAAGGCCCUGCUUUUGUGGGGUGCUCGAGUGGCGAACGGGUGAGUAACACGUGAGUAACCUGCCCUUGACUUUGGGAUAACUUCAGGAAACUGGGGCUAAUACCGGAUAGGAGCUCCUGCUGCAUGGUGGGGGUUGGAAAGAUUCGGCGGUUGGGGAUGGACUCGCGGCUUAUCAGCUUGUUGGUGGGGUAGUGGCUUACGAAGGCUUUGACGGGUAGCCGGCCUGAGAGGGUGACCGGCCACAUUGGGACUGAGAUAGGGCCCAGACUCCGACGGGAGGCAGCAGUGGGGAAUAUGGCACAAUGGGCGGGAGCCUGAUGCAGCAACGCCGCGUGCGGGAUGAUGGCCUACGGGUUGUGAACCGCUUUCGCCUGUGACGAAGCGUGAGUGACGGUAAUGGGUAAAAAAGCACCGGCUAACUACGUG